RNAcentral lists this long non-coding RNA (647 nucleotides) under Oryzias javanicus (javanese ricefish). Its description in RNAcentral is "lncRNA (ENSOJAG00000021457.1)". The record is from RNAcentral. Lineage: Eukaryota; Metazoa; Chordata; Actinopteri; Beloniformes; Adrianichthyidae.
ACACCGUGGUCUCGGAAACGACUUUUAAAAAAAAAAAACGAAUCUGUCCGACAAUGGCCUCCCCUCCUUUUUCAGCCAAACUUCCCCAAACCUUGAACAGGAGAACGCUGGCGGAGCGGUCCAAUCCCCGGCAGGGCCCGCACCUGCGCCGGCGGGCUGGCUCCGAGCGAGUCCGCUCUGAUUUACGGCCCUGACGGGUCGCCGGCCUGGCAGCAGCUGCGGAACGGCAGGAAGAGGAAGCUGUUCAUCACGCGGGGAGCAUCUCAGCUCUGAGCUUCUCCUGCAGGAACGGCAUCCACAGUUGACUGGCGACUGUUGAUGACAUCAUCGAGGAACCUGCUGAAGAGAUGUCUGAGGAGUGAACGACGGAGGAUCCUCGGGGUCACGACCCAAAGGUCACAGCCGAGACACCGGCCCGUAAAUCCAGAGCUUAACCCGUCAGGAUCAGCGGCUUCUUCCACGCCAGCAGAUCAAACCCGUCCGCCUCAUUUCCACCUGUACGGUCCAGAACUUACAGUUGAUCCUCUGGUUCUUCCAGCUGCUUCACACCGCUGAAGGUCCAGUGAAGCCAGCAGAACAUAGAGUCCCUCAGGCUCACCCUGGACGUUCUGUCCAUAAGAACAUGAACAGAACCAGUAAGAAAAGAA